This 385-nucleotide unclassified non-coding RNA is filed under the name soil metagenome. RNAcentral describes it as "partial contains 5.8S ribosomal RNA, internal transcribed spacer 2, and large subunit ribosomal RNA". The stretch from base 1 to 120 matches the Rfam family "5.8S ribosomal RNA", at positions 35 to 154 of the family's 154-position model. The record is from RNAcentral.
GAUGAAGAACGUAGCGAAAUGCGAUAAGUAAUGUGAAUUGCAGAAUUCAGUGAAUCAUCGAAUCUUUGAACGCACCUUGCACCCUUUGGCAUUCCGAAGGGUAUGCUCGUUUGAGUGUCAUUGUACUCUCACACUCUCCGAUCCUAUGGAUUCGGGGAGCGGUGGACUUGGGUGUUGCUGCCUUUCCUUGUGGCUCACCUCAAAUGUGUCAGUGCACCUCUUGGUUGGACAUAGUACGGCGUGAUAAGUGUCUUCGCCGGCACCUCGCAAGAGGGUGGCCGAUCGGGAGCUCUGUGCUUUCAAACCGUCUUCGGACAAUUUCUGACAACUUGACCUCAAAUCGAGUAGGACUACCCGCUGAACUUAAGCAUAUCAUAGCGGAGGA